AUACCGCAUACGCCCUACGGGGGAAAGCAGGGGAUCUUCGGACCUUGCGCUAAUAGAUGAGCCUAAGUCAGAUUAGCUAGUUGGUGGGGUAAAGGCCUACCAAGGCGACGAUCUGUAGCGGGUCUGAGAGGAUGAUCCGCCACACUGGGACUGAGACACGGCCCAGACUCCUACGGGAGGCAGCAGUGGGGAAUAUUGGACAAUGGGCGCAAGCCUGAUCCAGCCAUGCCGCGUGUGUGAAGAAGGCCUUUUGGUUGUAAAGCACUUUAAGCGAGGAGGAGGCUACUUGGAUUAAUACUCUAGGAUAGUGGACGUUACUCGCAGAAUAAGCACCGGCUAACUCUGUGCCAGCAGCCGCGGUAAUACAGAGGGUGCGAGCGUUAAUCGGAUUUACUGGGCGUAAAGCGUGCGUAGGCGGCUUCUUAAGUCGGAUGUGAAAUCCCUGAGCUUAACUUAGGAAUUGCAUUCGAUACUGGGAAGCUAGAGUAUGGGAGAGGAUGGUAGAAUUCCAGGUGUAGCGGUGAAAUGCGUAGAGAUCUGGAGGAAUACCGAUGGCGAAGGCAGCCAUCUGGCCUAAUACUGACGCUGAGGUACGAAAGCAUGGGGAGCAAACAGGAUUAGAUACCCUGGUAGUCCAUGCCGUAAACGAUGUCUACUAGCCGUUGGGGCCUUUGAGGCUUUAGUGGCGCAGCUAACGCGAUAAGUAGACCGCCUGGGGAGUACGGUCGCAAGACUAAAACUCAAAUGAAUUGACGGGGGCCCGCACAAGCGGUGGAGCAUGUGGUUUAAUUCGAUGCAACGCGAAGAACCUUACCUGGUCUUGACAUAGUAAGAACUUUCCAGAGAUGGAUUGGUGCCUUCGGGAACUUACAUACAGGUGCUGCAUGGCUGUCGUCAGCUCGUGUCGUGAGAUGUUGGGUUAAGUCCCGCAACGAGCGCAACCCUUUUCCUUAUUUGCCAGCGGGUUAAGCCGGGAACUUUAAGGAUACUGCCAGUGACAAACUGGAGGAAGGCGGGGACGACGUCAAGUCAUCAUGGCCCUUACGACCAGGGCUACACACGUGCUACAAUGGUCGGUACAAAGGGUUGCUACCUAGCGAUAGGAUGCUAAUCUCAAAAAGCCGAUCGUAGUCCGGAUUGGAGUCUGCAACUCGACUCCAUGAAG
Molecule: ribosomal RNA, 1165 nt
Filed under: Acinetobacter johnsonii
Lineage: Bacteria; Pseudomonadati; Pseudomonadota; Gammaproteobacteria; Moraxellales; Moraxellaceae
Description: bacterial SSU rRNA
Rfam family: Bacterial small subunit ribosomal RNA
Source: RNAcentral